Molecule: ribosomal RNA, 492 nt
Filed under: uncultured bacterium
Lineage: Bacteria
Description: partial 16S ribosomal RNA
Rfam family: Bacterial small subunit ribosomal RNA
Source: RNAcentral
AUUGAACGCUGGCGGCAUGCUUUACACAUGCAAGUCGAACGGUAACAGGCCUUCGGGUGCUGACGAGUGGCGAACGGGUGAGUAAUGCAUCGGAACGUACCCAGAGGUGGGGGAUAACGCAGCGAAAGCUGUGCUAAUACCUCAUGUGAUCUGAGGAUGAAAGCGGGGGACCGAGCAGCAAUGUUUGGCCUCGCGCCUUUGGAGCGGCCGAUGUCGGAUUAGCUAGUUGGUGGGGUAAAGGCCUACCAAGGCGACGAUCCGUAGCUGGUCUGAGAGGACGACCAGCCACACUGGGACUGAGACACGGCCCAGACUCCUACGGGAGGCAGCAGUGGGGAAUUUUGGACAAUGGGCGCAAGCCUGAUCCAGCAAUGCCGCGUGCGGGAAGAAGGCCUUCGGGUUGUAAACCGCUUUUGGCAGGAACGAAACGGUGUCCGCUAAUACCGGGCGCUAAUGACGGUACCUGCAGAAUAAGCACCGGCUAACUACGUG